UACGUAGGGGGCUAGCGUUGUCCGGAAUCAUUGGGCGUAAAGCGCGUGUAGGCGGCCCGGUAAGUCCGCUGUGAAAGUCGGGGGCUCAACCCUCGGAUGCCGGUGGAUACUGUCGGGCUCGAGUACGGAAGAGGCGAGUGGAAUUCCCGGUGUAGCAGUGAAAUGCGUAGAGAUCGGGAGGAACACCAGUGGCGAAGGCGGCUACCUGGACCAGCACUGACACUGAAGCACGAAAGCGUGGGGAGCAAACAGG
Molecule: ribosomal RNA, 253 nt
Filed under: uncultured bacterium
Lineage: Bacteria
Description: partial 16S ribosomal RNA
Rfam family: Bacterial small subunit ribosomal RNA
Source: RNAcentral